UCGGCAGCCAGCGCGCGACAUUGUCUUCUCGUCUCGUCUCGUCUCGUUUCGUGUUUCGUCUCGCGUCUCGCGCAUAGUGUUCGUGUCGUCGUCGUUUCCGCGAGUUCCCGGUACGCGAAAAAAAAAAAAAAAAACCCGAAAAACAAGCGUAUCACCGCGAAUACCGUGGUUACCGUGCGCGGUAAUAUCGCCCGUCUAUCGUCACCGAGUCCUGCUGCACGCGUGUUUCGUCGAUCGUGUCCGUCUCGUCGCGGUUUCCGAGGGAGUGCGUGAAUCGAACAGG
Non-coding RNA from Cinara cedri, 283 nucleotides. NCBI's taxonomy places the organism in Eukaryota, Metazoa, Arthropoda, Insecta, Hemiptera, Aphididae. The record is from the annotation of a GenBank genome assembly.